RNAcentral lists this non-coding RNA (908 nucleotides) under Bacillus sp. SA1-12. Its description in RNAcentral is "bacterial LSU rRNA". It matches the Rfam family "Bacterial large subunit ribosomal RNA", at positions 1431 to 2331 of the family's 2925-position model. The record is from RNAcentral. Lineage: Bacteria; Bacillati; Bacillota; Bacilli; Caryophanales; Bacillaceae.
UGAAAUUCCUGUACCACCUCCUCACCGUUUGAGCAAUGGGGGGACGCAGAAGGAUAGGGUAAGCGCGCUGUUGGAUUAGCGCGUCCAAGCAGGUAGGCUGACAACGAGGCAAAUCCCGUUGUCAUAAAAGCUGAGCUGUGACGGCGAGGGAACUAUAGUACCGAAGUUCCUGAUUCCACACUGCCAAGAAAAGCCUCUAGCGAGGUGUGAGGUGCCCGUACCGCAAACCGACACAGGUAGGCGAGGAGAGAAUCCUAAGGUGAGCGAGAGAACUCUCGUUAAGGAACUCGGCAAAAUGACCCCGUAACUUCGGGAGAAGGGGUGCUUUUUAGGGUGAAUAGCCCGGAAAAGCCGCAGUGAAUAGGCCCAGGCGACUGUUUAGCAAAAACACAGGUCUCUGCGAAGCCGCAAGGCGAAGUAUAGGGGCUGACGCCUGCCCGGUGCUGGAAGGUUAAGGGGAGAGGUUAGCUGCUGAGCGAAGCUUUGAACUGAAGCCCCAGUAAACGGCGGCCGUAACUAUAACGGUCCUAAGGUAGCGAAAUUCCUUGUCGGGUAAGUUCCGACCCGCACGAAAGGCGUAACGAUCUGGGCACUGUCUCAACGAGAGACUCGGUGAAAUUAUAGUACCUGUGAAGAUGCAGGUUACCCGCGACAGGACGGAAAGACCCCGUGGAGCUUUACUGUAGCCUGAUAUUGAAUUUUGGUACAGCUUGUACAGGAUAGGUAGGAGCCUGAGAAGCCGGAGCGCCAGCUUCGGUGGAGGCGUCGGUGGGAUACUACCCUGGCUGUAUUGAAAUUCUAACCCGCGGCCCUUAUCGGGCCGGGAGACAGUGUCAGGUGGGCAGUUUGACUGGGGCGGUCGCCUCCUAAAAUGUAACGGAGGCGCCCAAAGGUUCCCUCAGAAUGGU